UACAGGGGGUGCAAACGUUGCUCGGAAUCAUUGGGCGUAAAGCGCACGUAGGCGGUUCGUUAUGUCGGAUGUGAAAGCCCUUGGCUUAACCGAGGAAGUGCAUCCGAAACUGGCGAGCUAGAGUACGAAAGAGGAUCGCGGAAUUCCCGGUGUAGAGGUGAAAUUCGUAGAUAUCGGGAGGAACACCAGCGGCGAAGGCGGCCACCUGGACGGAUACUGACGCUGAGACGCGAAAGCGUGGGGAGCAAACAGG
RNAcentral lists this ribosomal RNA (253 nucleotides) under uncultured bacterium. Its description in RNAcentral is "partial 16S ribosomal RNA". It matches the Rfam family "Bacterial small subunit ribosomal RNA", at positions 524 to 776 of the family's 1533-position model. The record is from RNAcentral.